Molecule: ribosomal RNA, 795 nt
Filed under: uncultured archaeon
Lineage: Archaea
Description: bacterial SSU rRNA
Rfam family: Archaeal small subunit ribosomal RNA
Source: RNAcentral
ACGGCUCAGUAACACGUGGACAACCUACCCUGAGGUCGGGGAUAAACCCGGGAAACUGGGUAUAAUACCCGAUAGAUCUAGAUCGCCGGAAUGCUUUUAGGUCUAAAGUUCCGACGCCUCAGGAUGGGUCUGCGGCCUAUCAGGGUAGUAGUGGGUGUAAAGUACCUACUAGCCCACGACGGGUACGGGUUGUGAGAGCAAGAGCCCGGAGAUGGAUUCUGAGACACGAAUCCAGGCCCUACGGGGUGCAGCAGGCGCGAAACCUUUACAAUGCUGGCAACAGCGAUAAGGGGACCUCGAGUGCUACGAUACAAUCGUGGCUGUCUAGUUGCCUAAAAAGCAAUUGAUAGCAAGGGCCGGGCAAGACCGGUGCCAGCCGCCGCGGUAACACCGGCGGCUCGAGUGGUAACCGCUAUUAUUGGGUCUAAAGGGUCUGUAGCCGGCUUAGUUAGUCUCUUGAGAAAUCUGGCCGCUCAACGGUCAGGCGUUCAGGGGAUACUGCUAAAGCUCGAGACCGGGAGAGGUGAGAGGUACUUCAGGGGUAGGGGUGAAAUCUUGUAAUCCUUGAAGGACCACCAGUGGCGAAGGCGUCUCACCAGAACGGAUCUGACGGCAAGGGACGAAAGCUAGGGGCACGAACCGGAUUAGAUACCCGGGUAGUCCUAGCCGUAAACGAUACUCGCUAGGUGUCGGCCACGGUGCGACCGUGGUCGGUGCCGUAGGGAAGCCGUGAAGCGACCCACCUGGGAAGUACGGCCGCAAGGCUGAAACUUAAAGGAAUUGGCGGGGGAGCAC